AGAACCUGUAAGCAAAAAAAGUGCCCACUAAUUUCCAAGAUGAAGCCCAAGUGAAUGGGAGAAUGUUGAAACAUAAACAGAGUGAAGUAAAGAAGAGAAGCUAAUUCUGUAGGGAAGAUGAUGCUUCUUUUAGGUUAAGAUCCAGCUGGCGAGACAUCGUGAGGAUAAGGAGAUUGCCUGACCAACUGGGAAAUAGCAGUCUAUACAGACGUCAGAGGCGCCUCUGGAGGGGAGUAUGCCGUAAUGCAGGGGAAGAGAGACUGACACAGUGACAGAGAGAAAGCUGCAGGGACAAAGUCCGUCUUCACACUCCCUGAAGCAAUGGCUGCUCUGAAGUUUUUCACCACAAGUUAUUUUUGCCUGUUCUAGAAAGUCAUAUAAGUGCAAACAUACGCUAUUUUCUUUGGAAGCUGAUCAAGUCUGGUUCAUGCGUUACCAACCACGUGCCAUCGUUCUGAAUUUGCCUCCAUUAAGAUUUCUGAUGGUGGUUGGAAAAACAUAGAAAAGGAUCUCAUUGUACUUGUGCUUGCUGAUAGAAGAG
RNAcentral lists this long non-coding RNA (541 nucleotides) under Equus asinus (donkey). RNAcentral describes it as "lncRNA (ENSEASG00005024356.1)". The record is from RNAcentral. Lineage: Eukaryota; Metazoa; Chordata; Mammalia; Perissodactyla; Equidae.